Molecule: non-coding RNA, 220 nt
Organism: Pelobates cultripes (western spadefoot toad)
Lineage: Eukaryota; Metazoa; Chordata; Amphibia; Anura; Pelobatidae
Source: the annotation of a GenBank genome assembly
GCAGGUUCGGCCAAACUUUGACAAACCCUGUGGCGGCGACUUUGCAUGCGGAUGUCAUCCAUAUCAACUUUCAAUUCCAGUUUCUGCACCUACCAUGGUGACCACAGGUAACGGGGAAUCAGGGUUCCAUUCUGUACAGGGACCCUGAGAAACGGCUACCACAUGCAAGGAAGGCAGCAGGCGCUCAAAUGACCCACUCCCGACGCGGGAAGGUAGUGAC